Salvia splendens (bonfire salvia) is the source of this 667-nucleotide long non-coding RNA. RefSeq lists it as uncharacterized. The record is from RefSeq and is a predicted model, not a curated record. The transcript has 3 exons. NCBI's taxonomy places the organism in Eukaryota, Viridiplantae, Streptophyta, Magnoliopsida, Lamiales, Lamiaceae.
CUCACUUUGCAACUCACACACAUCACUUUUCCUACACAUACGCACAAAAUUCCUCUGUCGGCGCAGCGCACCUCCGGCAACCACCGCCUUCCGUCCAACGUGGAAGCCCCUCCUUGUCUCCCACCCUGUCUCGUCACAUCUCUCCCUCCCUACACACCCACACAUUUAUAUCUCUCUGCAGCGGUUGUCCGACCGAUUCUGCCACCGCCGUCACCGUUUUCCGGCAACUGUAGCUAGAAUUGUAUGCCCUUUGUCCUUAAUGGGUGGAUGGUCUGUGUGGAGUCCUAUCGAGGACAAAAUCCGCGUCUGCUGCAUCUGAUUCUGUUUCUGAUCUGGUUCGCGUACCCUAGUCUGUCACUAAGCACUUAAAGGGGCUAUAUGUGUUUGAAUAUGUGAAAAUAUUAGGUGAUCAUAUUAGCUCAUUUGCUUCACAGCUGCUCAAGUCGAGUGACUACCUAACCUUUCGCGUUUGAAUAAUUAUUUAAUACAUUAGUUGUGGCAUGUGUAGAAUGUGUAAUGUGUUUGGAACAUCUUAAUCAUUUCAUACACUUUUGUUAAACAAAUAUAGUUGUAAAUAGUGAUCCAUGUUGUGCGUGUGUGUGUAUAUAUAUAUAUAUAUAGAUAUAUAUAUAUAUAUAGAGAGAGAGAUGAUCAAAAUAAAAAUGCA